GACGAACGCUGGCGGCGUGCUUAACACAUGCAAGUCGGACGGAAAGGCCCUGCUUGCAGGGUACUCGAGUGGCGAACGGGUGAGUAACACGUGGGUGAUCUGCCCUGCACUUCGGGAUAAGCCUGGGAAACUGGGUCUAAUACCGGAUAGGAGCCAUUUUUAGUGUGAUGGUUGGAAAGUUUUUUCGGUGUAGGAUGAGCUCGCGGCCUAUCAGCUUGUUGGUGGGGUAAUGGCCUACCAAGGCGGCGACGGGUAGCCGGCCUGAGAGGGUGGACGGCCACAUUGGGACUGAGAUACGGCCCAGACUCCUACGGGAGGCAGCAGUGGGGAAUAUUGCACAAUGGGCGCAAGCCUGAUGCAGCGACGCCGCGUGGGGGAUGACGGCCUUCGGGUUGUAAACUCCUUUCGCUAGGGACGAAGCUUUUUGUGACGGUACCUAGAGAAGAAGCACCGGCUAACUACGUG
RNAcentral lists this ribosomal RNA (465 nucleotides) under uncultured bacterium. RNAcentral describes it as "partial 16S ribosomal RNA". It matches the Rfam family "Bacterial small subunit ribosomal RNA", at positions 28 to 507 of the family's 1533-position model. The record is from RNAcentral.